Molecule: ribosomal RNA, 253 nt
Filed under: uncultured bacterium
Lineage: Bacteria
Description: partial 16S ribosomal RNA
Rfam family: Bacterial small subunit ribosomal RNA
Source: RNAcentral
UACGUAGGGUGCGAGCGUUAAUCGGAAUUACUGGGCGUAAAGCGGGCGCAGGCGGUUUUGUAAGCCAGAUGUGAAAUCCCCGGGCUUAACCUGGGAAUGGCAUUUGGGACUGCAAGGCUGGAGUUUGGCAGAGGAGACUGGAAUUCCCGGUGUAGCAGUGAAAUGCGUAGAUAUCGGGAGGAAUACCGAUGGCGAAGGCAGGUCUCUGGGCUAUAACUGACGCUCAUGCACGAAAGCGUGGGGAGCAAACAGG